RNAcentral lists this ribosomal RNA (492 nucleotides) under uncultured bacterium. Its description in RNAcentral is "partial 16S ribosomal RNA". It matches the Rfam family "Bacterial small subunit ribosomal RNA", at positions 30 to 523 of the family's 1533-position model. The record is from RNAcentral.
AUUGAACGCUGGCGGCAUGCUUUACACAUGCAAGUCGAACGGUAACAGGUUAAGCUGACGAGUGGCGAACGGGUGAGUAAUGCAUCGGAACGUGCCCGGUCGUGGGGGAUAACGCAGCGAAAGCUGCGCUAAUACCGCAUACGAUCUGAGGAUGAAAGCGGGGGACCGUAAGGCCUCGCGCGAUCGGAGCGGCCGAUGUCAGAUUAGGUAGUUGGUGGGGUAAAGGCUCACCAAGCCGACGAUCUGUAGCUGGUCUGAGAGGACGACCAGCCACACUGGGACUGAGACACGGCCCAGACUCCUACGGGAGGCAGCAGUGGGAAUUUUGGACAAUGGGCGAAAGCCUGAUCCAGCAAUGCCGCGUGCAGGAAGAAGGCCUUCGGGUUGUAAACUGCUUUUGUACGGAGCGAAAAGGCCCUCUCUAAUACAGGGGGUUUAUGACGGUACCGUAAGAAUAAGCACCGGCUAACUCUGUGCCAGCAGCCGCAGUAA